Molecule: ribosomal RNA, 253 nt
Filed under: uncultured bacterium
Lineage: Bacteria
Description: partial 16S ribosomal RNA
Rfam family: Bacterial small subunit ribosomal RNA
Source: RNAcentral
UACGAAGGGGGCUAGCGUUGUUCGGAAUUACUGGGCGUAAAGCGCACGUAGGCGGAUUGCUAAGUCAGGGGUGAAAUCCCGGGGCUCAACCUCGGAACUGCCUUUGAUACUGACAAUCUCGAGUCCGGAAGAGGUGGGUGGAAUUCCUAGUGUAGAGGUGAAAUUCGUAGAUAUUAGGAAGAACACCAGUGGCGAAGGCGGCCCACUGGUCCGGUACUGACGCUGAGGUGCGAAAGCGUGGGGAGCGAACAGG